Long non-coding RNA from Prunus persica (peach), 1027 nucleotides. RefSeq lists it as uncharacterized. The transcript is spliced from 2 exons. The record is from RefSeq and is a predicted model, not a curated record. NCBI's taxonomy places the organism in Eukaryota, Viridiplantae, Streptophyta, Magnoliopsida, Rosales, Rosaceae.
UCAAUGCAAACCCUUAAAUUUUUCACAAUCCUCAAAGUAGUACAUGGUUUUGUUAGACAUACGCAAGCCUCCUCUAUGUAUUGACAUACGCUUAAAACAAUGAAAGGCGGCAAUUAAAACAAAUGCUUGACAACAAUGACAAGAAACAAACGCUUGACUUCUUGACAUUAUCUAUUUACUUAUUCUGUCUGCCAUCCUCUCUUGUUUAAUUUUCUUCUCUCACUCAAGAGUCUCUCUUUCUUGCUCUCAUGGAACAGAUACAACACAGAAAUGUGGAAGUAAGAGGACUAAAGCUUCAUGUAGCGGAAAUUGGACACGGUCCGAAAGAGGUGCUUUUCUUGCAUGGGUUUCCAGAAAUAUGGUACACAUGGAGGCAUCAAAUGCUUGCCGUGGCAAACAAAAGGGUACAGGGCAAUAGCCAUUGAUUUCAGGGGCUACGGACUUUCGGAGCAGCCAGCUGAACCCGAAAAGGGAACCUUCAAAGACCUCGCUGAUGAUGUUGUUGCCCUUUUGGAUUCUUUGGGGAUUAACAAGGUAGAUCCAUUCUUUCCUCCAGGCACUUGAUUUUGCUGCUACUGUUUUCCCCCAUCUGCGGGCAGGUGGUACCUGUUUAUCAGUUGGCGCUUAAUGUUUAGCUCUCAAAUUUUUGGGCGGAGAGCUAAACCCUGUACAUUUCUGAAACAAUGAGCAAUUGCCAGAUCAAGUCAAUCAGCUAAUUCUCAGUUUCCUUGACAAACAUGGUAUCUAACAUAAAUACUCUCAGUGUGGCUAAGGACAAUAUAAUAUAGGAGAGGAAAUAAUAUACCGUAUAUGGCAUACGCAGAAAAGGCUGGGCCUUACAUUACAUAUUGGGGAAUAAAGAAAUUCGUGCCCCUAUUGUGUUGGCUUCUUAAUCUGGAAAUGUAUUUAUGACCUUCAAUGUCCACUAUUCAACUGCUUAUGGUGGACAUAUGAGGUCCAAAUAAGGAUUCUCUACCUACAUUUUUGUUUUCUGAUACCCUGCUUAUAAUCAGUUCAUUUUAAAUCA